This 201-nucleotide long non-coding RNA is filed under the name Elaeis guineensis (African oil palm). RNAcentral describes it as "long non-coding RNA (EGUI_LNC040862)". Lineage: Eukaryota; Viridiplantae; Streptophyta; Magnoliopsida; Arecales; Arecaceae. The record is from RNAcentral.
AUUGCAAUAAUGGUAUGCGAUAUAAUUUUAUUCAUUAGAAUAUAAUUUAUUUUUUAUUAUUAUUGUUCAAUAUUAUGUUCAUUUAUAUGUCAAGAUUGCAGGUAUGGCAUCAGGAGACAAACGACGACGUUCACAUUCGCAAUUUAUCCUAGAGGCUGAGGUGCCUUCAUCGAUUUCCACUGCCGCACCAGCUCUGUCGCC